CAAUAGCGUAUAUUUAAGUUGUUGCAGUUAAAAAAGCUCGUAGUUGGAUUUUGGGUCGAUCCGACCGGUCCGCCGUUUCGGUGUGCACUGGUCGGGUUUUCCUUUCUGCCGGGGACUCGUGUCUGGUCUUAAUUGAUCGGCGCGAGGAGUCGGCGUUGUUACUUUGAAAAAUUAGAGUGUUUCAAAGCAAGCCAUCGCUCUGAAUACAUUAGCAUGGAAUAACAUGAUAGGACUUCUGUCUUAUUUUGUUGGUUUCCGAGACGGGAGUAAUGAUUAAUAGGGACAGUCGGGGGCAUCCGUAUUUCAGUUGUCAGAGGUGAAAUUCUUGGAUUUAUGAAAGACGAACUUCUGCGAAAGCAUUUGCCAAGGAUUGUUUUC
This 378-nucleotide ribosomal RNA is filed under the name uncultured eukaryote. RNAcentral describes it as "bacterial SSU rRNA". It matches the Rfam family "Eukaryotic small subunit ribosomal RNA", at positions 592 to 971 of the family's 1831-position model. The record is from RNAcentral.